Long non-coding RNA from Vicia villosa (hairy vetch), 490 nucleotides. RefSeq lists it as uncharacterized. The transcript has 2 exons. The record is from RefSeq and is a predicted model, not a curated record. NCBI's taxonomy places the organism in Eukaryota, Viridiplantae, Streptophyta, Magnoliopsida, Fabales, Fabaceae.
GAUAUAGCUGAUACAUUUGGAAGCAAUGCCGAUUCUUUAAUUGAUGUUGAAACUGUUUGACCUGAUAAAGAGAAUCCUCUGACACUGUUACAAGCAUGACACAAUGGUUUCCUCCUUAACGACUCAAAUGCUGGCCACAGGUUAAAGUUGAUAGACAAGGAAGAAUAUGGAAUGAUGACACAUUUUUAUUUGGGUUUCUUCCUAAGCAUUGCCACACAAUUGAUACACAUUUGCCAGGGUAUCCAUGCAUUAUUUUCUGCAUGUAUUCACAUUUGGUAGACAAUAUAAUAAACAAAGAAAGUGGCAUGUUACAUGGAAGUAACCAGCAAAAAUAAACAAAGAAACUGAAUAUUAUCAGUUAGAAAGAGCAGGGGAUCCUUGCUUUUCAAUGAAUGUUUAAUAGCAAAUAUUUCAGUAAGUAAAUCCAUUUGUUUUAUGUAGGCUAUUUGAUUUUGUUUGUUGAAAUGACACAGAGUUCUCUUUGCUGUCA